This 69-nucleotide transfer RNA is filed under the name Boulenophrys sangzhiensis. RNAcentral's name for it is "tRNA-Trp". It matches the Rfam family "tRNA". Rfam says of the family: Transfer RNA (tRNA) molecules are approximately 80 nucleotides in length. Their secondary structure includes four short double-helical elements and three loops (D, anti-codon, and T loops). RNAcentral also lists the same sequence under 1 other name. Lineage: Eukaryota; Metazoa; Chordata; Amphibia; Anura; Megophryidae. The record is from RNAcentral.
AGAAGCUUAGGAUAACAAGACCAGGAGCCUUCAAAGCUCCUAGCAGGAGUUAAAACCUCCUAGUUUCUG